UUUUUCUCUAACAACAGAUGACUUGGAGAUAGUCUAGAGUCCUGAAUCUUUGCAUCAUGAGGAGGAUAUGGUUAAGUGGACAGAAAGUUAAGGCCAUGGGCUCAAGCUUUAUAGGCUGUUCUGUUUGAAAACCACAGCUAGGAAGACGACUGCAUAAUCAAGCAAGUUGGGAGACCUGGUGCUAAAUGAUUGUCUAUUCUUGCAGAGUUCUUACCAGGAGGAAAGCCAAUACUCAGUUGAGUGAUUGUGGCAAAUCCUGUCAAGCAACGAGAAACUCAAUGGCGAAUCAAGUCAAGCAAUGAGGAGCUGAAUGGCAGUUAAUGGUGAAUAGCACGGUGGAGCUCAAUGAAAUUCUGUAUUUUUUCUCUUUUCCAAAUGAGUUUUUGAUUUUUAAUAUCAUAACUGUAAUAUUCUUGUUAAAAAGGUUCACCACUUGCAAUACUUGGUCUAUUUUCAAUAUGAAAAUAUUAAUGUAAUAGUCCCGAGGAUAGGUCCA
Molecule: long non-coding RNA, 496 nt
Organism: Prunus dulcis (almond)
Lineage: Eukaryota; Viridiplantae; Streptophyta; Magnoliopsida; Rosales; Rosaceae
Exons: 3
Source: RefSeq, a predicted model, not a curated record